This 252-nucleotide ribosomal RNA is filed under the name uncultured bacterium. RNAcentral describes it as "partial 16S ribosomal RNA". It matches the Rfam family "Bacterial small subunit ribosomal RNA", at positions 524 to 776 of the family's 1533-position model. The record is from RNAcentral.
GACAGAGGAUGCAAGCGUUAUCCGGAAUGAUUGGGCGUAAAGCGUCUGUAGGUGGCUUUUUAAGUCUGCCGUCAAAUCCCAGGGCUUAACCCUGGACAGGCGGUGGAAACUACCAAGCUGGAGUACGGUAGGGGCAGAGGGAAUUUCCGGUGGAGCGGUGAAAUGCGUAGAGAUCGGAAGAACACCGGUGGCGAAGGCGCUCUGCUAGGCCGUAACUGACACUGAGGGACGAAAGCUAGGGGAGCGAAUGGG